RNAcentral lists this ribosomal RNA (460 nucleotides) under uncultured bacterium. RNAcentral's name for it is "partial 16S ribosomal RNA". It matches the Rfam family "Bacterial small subunit ribosomal RNA", at positions 338 to 795 of the family's 1533-position model. The record is from RNAcentral.
CCUACGGGCGGCAGCAGUGAGGAAUAUUUGUCAAUGGACGCAAGUCUGAACCAGCCAUGCCGCGUGCAGGAAGACGGCUCUAUGAGUUGUAAACUGCUUUUGUACGAGGGUAAACGCAGAUACGCGUAUCUGUCUGAAAGUAUCGUACGCAUAAGGAUCGGCUAACUCCGUGCCAGCCGCCGCGGUAAUACGGAGGAUUCAAGCGUUAUCCGGAUUUAUUGGGUUUACAGGGUGCGUAGGAGUUCUGAUAAGUUAGAGGUGAAAUCCCGAGGCUAAACUUCGGAAUUGCCUCUGAUACUGGUCGGCUAGAGAGUAGUUGCGGUAGGCGGAAUGUAUGGUGUAGCGGUGAAAUGCUUAGAGAUCAUACAGAACACCGAUUGCGAAGGCAGCUUACCAAGCUACUUCUGACGUUGAGGCACGAAAGCGUGGGGAGCAAACAGGAUUAGAUACCCCAGUAGUC